CGGGGUGUAGCUCAGUUGGCUAGAGCAUCUGCUUUGGGAGCAGAGGGUCGCAGGUUCGAGCCCUGUCACCCCGACCA
RNAcentral lists this transfer RNA (77 nucleotides) under Candidatus Uhrbacteria bacterium. RNAcentral's name for it is "tRNA-Pro". It matches the Rfam family "tRNA". Rfam says of the family: Transfer RNA (tRNA) molecules are approximately 80 nucleotides in length. Their secondary structure includes four short double-helical elements and three loops (D, anti-codon, and T loops). Lineage: Bacteria; Candidatus Uhriibacteriota. The record is from RNAcentral.